This is a long non-coding RNA of Heterocephalus glaber (naked mole-rat), 1059 nucleotides long. The record is from Ensembl. NCBI's taxonomy places the organism in Eukaryota, Metazoa, Chordata, Mammalia, Rodentia, Bathyergidae.
CCGAUUUUUAUCACAACUUAUGCUUCUUAAAGCAAUCUCUACCAAUGAUCCAUUUCAUGUAAAAACCUGGCAUCUCCAGAACAUAUUUGAAAUUAUGCAUACCUUUCUUGGGGCCAGGGAUUUAGCUCAGUGGUUCUGCCGCCUGCCAUGCAAGCACAAGGUCCCGAGUUUGAUCCCCAACACCCCCCCCAAAAACGUUGUACCUUUUUUAUCUGAAAAUAGGUAGGUCUACUUGUUCUGAUAUUUAAGGAUAACCUGUAUUUUACAUUCAGACAAAAAGGUCCAUACUCUUGUUUGUUAUACUAUAUACUUCAUUUUUAAAGUUUCUCCUUACAAAAAUAGGCAUGUGUUUUUGUUUUAGAUUUAUGAAAUAAGCCUUCUCUAAUUAAUACCACCCCAGACAGGCUUGUAGGAUUUUAGAUUUUGGUAAACUGAUCAUCUUUAGCUUUAUAGAGUUAGGGAAUGGGGUUUCAGUUCAGUCAAGGUCUGGAGAAUUAAAUCACACUAAGAAAAUCACAACGUAUCAAAUUAUAAGCCAGGAUGCUAAUUUAUUAGCUUUAACUGGCAGAAUGCCCACUCUUCAUCAUUUGUUCAGAGUUCUCUUGUUUUGCAGGGUAAGAAGGACAGAUACAGUCAAAGAAGAAAAACCAAAUUGUUCUCAUAAAUCUUUGAUGAACCAACAAAUGGACCUAGAGAAUUUCGAUGUUCCUUCAGAAUACCAUGUUAGGGUUGGGCGUGGGCAUUGUUAUAUACACUAGAAUGCCACAGAUUGAGUAUUAUAAAGAACAGAAGUUUAUUUGGCUCAGUAUUCUUGAGAUUGGGAAGUCCAGGAUCCUGAGACUGCAUCUGGUGAAGGCCUCCAUGCUAUGCUGCCUUCUCCCAUUGCAGAAGGUAUUGCCUGGGGAAAGAGCUGGAACCUUGAAAUGUUAGAGAGGAGAGAUAACCACUGAACCCUGGAGGAUAAAAAAUGGUGGUGCUUGCUGCCUACUGCUGCUUCUGCUGUUUGCUGUCUUCUGCCUGCCUUGCCAUGGACUGUUUCUCUUCUCUGAUACCCCUCUG